Molecule: Y RNA, 95 nt
Filed under: Propithecus coquereli (Coquerel's sifaka)
Lineage: Eukaryota; Metazoa; Chordata; Mammalia; Primates; Indriidae
Description: Y RNA (ENSPCOG00000012184.1)
Rfam family: Y RNA
About the family: Y RNAs are components of the Ro ribonucleoprotein particle (Ro RNP), in association with Ro60 and La proteins. The Y RNAs and Ro60 and La proteins are well conserved, but the function of the Ro RNP is not known.
Source: Rfam by way of RNAcentral
GGCUGGUCUGAUGGUAGUGGGUUAGCGGAACUUACUAACAUUAGUGUCACUAAAGUUGGUGUUCAACCCCCACUGCUAAAUUUGACUGGCUUUAA